CCCCUUGUGUUCUGUAAUGGUAGCAUUUCACUCUGUAAAAGUGACGGUAUCGGUUCAAUUCCGGUCGAGGGGA
RNAcentral lists this transfer RNA (73 nucleotides) under Yasminevirus sp. GU-2018. RNAcentral describes it as "partial tRNA-Tyr(gta)". It matches the Rfam family "tRNA". Rfam says of the family: Transfer RNA (tRNA) molecules are approximately 80 nucleotides in length. Their secondary structure includes four short double-helical elements and three loops (D, anti-codon, and T loops). Lineage: Varidnaviria; Bamfordvirae; Nucleocytoviricota; Megaviricetes; Imitervirales; Mimiviridae. The record is from RNAcentral.